GAUGAACGCUGGCGGCGUGCCUAAUACAUGCAAGUCGAGCGAACAGACGAGGAGCUUGCUCCUCUGACGUUAGCGGCGGACGGGUGAGUAACACGUGGAUAACCUACCUAUAAGACUGGGAUAACUUCGGGAAACCGGAGCUAAUACCGGAUAAUAUAUUGAACCGCAUGGUUCAAUAGUGAAAGACGGUUUUGCUGUCACUUAUAGAUGGAUCCGCGCCGCAUUAGCUAGUUGGUAAGGUAACGGCUUACCAAGGCAACGAUGCGUAGCCGACCUGAGAGGGUGAUCGGCCACCAUGGAACUGAGACACGGUCCAGACUCCUACGGGAGGCAGCAGUAGGGAAUCUUCCGCAAUGGGCGAAAGCUUGACGGAGCAACGCCGCGUGAGUGAUGAAGGUCUUCGGAUCGUAAAACUCUGUUAUUAGGGAAGAACAAAUGUGUAAGUAACUAUGCACGUCUUGACGGUACCUAAUCAGAAAGCCACGGCUAGCUACGUG
This 497-nucleotide ribosomal RNA is filed under the name uncultured bacterium. RNAcentral's name for it is "partial 16S ribosomal RNA". It matches the Rfam family "Bacterial small subunit ribosomal RNA", at positions 28 to 507 of the family's 1533-position model. The record is from RNAcentral.